Molecule: ribosomal RNA, 503 nt
Filed under: uncultured bacterium
Lineage: Bacteria
Description: partial 16S ribosomal RNA
Rfam family: Bacterial small subunit ribosomal RNA
Source: RNAcentral
AUUGAACGCUGGCGGCAGGCUUAACACAUGCAAGUCGAGCGGGGUGAUGGUGCUUGCACUAUCACUUAGCGGCGGACGGGUGAGUAAUGCUUAGGAAUCUGCCUAUUAGUGGGGGACAACAUCUCGAAAGGGAUGCUAAUACCGCAUACGUCCUACGGGAGAAAGCAGGGGAUCACUUGUGACCUUGCGCUAAUAGAUGAGCCUAAGUCGGAUUAGCUAGUUGGUGGGGUAAAGGCCUGCCAAGGCGACGAUCUGUAGCGGGUCUGAGAGGAUGAUCCGCCACACUGGGACUGGGACACGGCCCAGACUCCUACGGGAGGCAGCAGUGGGGAAUAUUGGACGAGGGGGGGAACCCUGAUCCAGCCAUGCCGCGUGUGUGAAGAAGGCCUUAUGGUUGUAAAGCACUUUAAGCGAGGAGGAGGCUCUUUUGGUUAAUACCCAAGAUGAGUGGACGUUACUCGCAGAAUAAGCACCGGCUAACUCUGUGCCAGCAGCCGCCGUAA